This is a long non-coding RNA of Brachypodium distachyon (stiff brome), 1561 nucleotides long. RefSeq lists it as uncharacterized. NCBI's taxonomy places the organism in Eukaryota, Viridiplantae, Streptophyta, Magnoliopsida, Poales, Poaceae. The transcript is spliced from 2 exons. The record is from RefSeq and is a predicted model, not a curated record.
UCAAGUGUAUAAAACAUGCAGAUUAUUUGCCUGACAUCUGUGUUAUUGAAAGCAGAAUUGUACAAGGUAGAGAGAAGUGAACAAAUGAAUCAACAGCAUCCUUUCCUGAUGAGAUGCGGACAUUAAAUACAAGGCGAAAGGUUAGGAUCGAGAGGUGCCUUUUGGCAAUAGACUCCCAGAACAAUUAGCAACUGCUGGCGUUUAGAAGACUAAAGAGAAUCUGGCAAAAAAAAGAAAAAAGAAAAAAAGAGAAGACUAAAGAGAAGACACGGUGCCUCAUGAGUGGGCUAGACUAGAAAUACAGAAAACUUUGGUCCUUGCGUUCAAAAAAAGGAAGAAGAAAACUGAGUGGGCUGAACCAAACUUUGCUCCAGGAGGGUGCCAUCGGUGCCAGCAGUGAAACCGAUGAUAAGUAAGAAGAAGAAGCUCAGUACGGCAACAGUGCUUGGGCCGCUGGUGGUGGUCGCCUAUUGGUGACUGCCUGAAUGGACCGUGAUGCUUCAGUGCUAUGUUCGGAAGGCUCAGGUCCAAGAACCGAGCAGUUGGCCAGCGUCGGCGGGAUCCCCGAUUCCGGCAGGUAACAUCCCGGUGGGUGAAGCUAUUCCCCGUGAGCGACAAGUGUUGCGACAGCACAUUUCUCGUCCUGACAGCAUUCUCAUCUGGAAUAUGGUAGUGGCUCACAUCGGUGUACUUCACGUCGCAACUGUUUGGUACGUAUUCCUCGUCCAUGUCUAUCACUGUGUUAUGCAACAUGCAGCAUACACGGAUUACUUUACCAAACUCCUGUAGAUUUUCUGGACGCAGGCACUUCCACGUGUCUUUUAAUCUUGCCAAACUCCUCAUAGUGACGUCUCUGGCUGCAGAGAGUCUCCUAUUGAACUCCACUCUGGGUUCUGAGAGAUUCUUCCCCCUGUAAGGUGUGAGAAGCCAGGGCAGAAGGGGAUAUCCUGCGUCACCAAUUAUAUAUUUCCCAACUUCCGAACCAUCUGAUAUCUCCAGCUUGCUUCCGGUCAGCCACUCACCCUUCUCACGCUGUGUGGGGAUUAGAGAGUUGUGGCUCUCGCGACCUGGCCAUACCACAUGAACAUUGGUGAACCUCAUAUAUCUGGAUCAACGACGACUUGCACUGCCAUUCUGUAAUCUAUCUCAUUCUCGCGGUUUGAUUCAACUAACCAAAGGCGCAAUCUCGUGAUUCUGGCCAGCGCUCGUGGUAGCCUGCUCGCAUCAUCAUAGCCUCCACGAACCUACAAGUUACCACCGAGACGAUCGACUCGCUUAUACUGAAAUCAGAUGCUACAGUCUCCAAUGACCCACCAGACAUCAACAUUCUUAGAGAAACAGCUACUUGAUCUUCUAAACACAUCGCUCUCCCAUCAAGAAAGGUGUCACUGCUCACGUCUUCUAUAGACUUCGCCAAGCAGCAGAUGUAUUUGAGAAGGUUCUUCUUUUCAUUUGGAAGAAAUUUUCAAAUCUUUGUUCGUCCUCGGGAAAAGAUAAAGUUCCUGAGAAAAAUAAUAUGUAAACUGGUUUUGAUGAUAAAUAAAAGGACAGAGUAUCACAA